GGAGAAGUAGCGAUUUAGGAUUUGAAGUCCAAACCGCUAAACCUGUACUAAUCUAGUUGGGUUUUCAACCCAUUUCUCCUUUCACCUGUCCUAUUCCCAUGUUUUCGAGCCCUUUGGCUCGAGUUUUUUGCUUUACCUAUAUUAAAUACAACUUUGGCUUCGAGGCCCAAAAAUUAAUAUAUGAAUAAGUAAUUAAAUAAAGGGAAUAAAAACAAGACUAAUAAAAGGAGAUAAGCCUCUUCUUUCUUCCUUUAAACUUCUCGAAUUUGGAUGCCACGGGAUCACUUUUGAACUUAGACCUUCGGGCUUGAUCCAAAGAGAUGGGCCUCACUGUUCCCUCAUGAAAUGCAAGAGGCAAGAGUCCAUUUGGACUCCAACAAUUUUCAUGCAAAAUAAGGAAACAUAAAGGACCUUAACAUAUCAUUAACGAAGGAAAAGAGAAAAUAAAUUUAGCACACGGCCAACCAAGGGGAAAGAAAUGAAUUAAAAUUAGUUAAUGCACCAUUUCCGUCAAGGAAAGGACAAAUUAGACAAAACCUAUUGCGGUUUUAACCGAACAUGAUAUGAAUCUUUAAAUAAUCAUAAGCUGAUAUGAAAAAUAGUAAGAUGUAUUCACACUAAUUCAAGUUUACAAACUCAACCAAAAUAGCAAAUCUAAAGCAAUUAAUACAUAUCACUGACUUGAUUGAGUGUAACAGAUUUUUCGCCAUUAGAGUCAAAUCUCCUUUUCGAUAUUUCGUUAUUUGUAAGACUAAGCGGGGUGCAAAUUUUCAAAAUAUUGAUACCAAAUUAUCACAGAGAGAGAAAACUAUAUCCUAGAAACUACACAUCACAUAAAAUUUCUCCUUAGAAACCAAAAGAAAACUCAUGGUGAUUCAACUACAUGAAAACUAUCCACUUGGGGUAUGUGAGGAACCAAUCACUAUUAGACUAGCAUUUUCAGGUACAUGAAGGUUAUCCAACAGUAUGAUGUCAAGAGCAUUUAACAUUAUACCUAAUUGACAUUAAACACUGCAGACGUUCGAACUAUACUCCUAACUAAAUAGAUUGGAGAAGUAAGACACUAGAUAUGAAUAGGAUGUCAACCCAUCCGGAAAGUACAACGUUAUGCUAAAUGAAAUUCCAAGUUACAUCAUACAUAGCACACUUAGAAUGUCCAUUCUGACUUCCAACAACAAUAAAACAUAUUGCCUUAACGAUUUGAGCACACUAAAUUUCAGCAUAUGCUAAUUCCCAACAAACAACCAUAAUGGCAAAGAAAAUCAACAUUUAUAAAAAAAGAAGCUGGAAAGCAUCUAUGGAGGAAAAAUUGAAAGAUUAAAAAUAUACUAGAGAAAUUCUAAGCCUAUUACCGCCAUCCGUCGUUGAGAAUUAAGAAACACAAGAUUAAAUAUGGAAAUUUUUCUCUAAUCUUAUUAGGCUAGUCGCAAUAUCGAGGCGAACCGUUUACAUUGAACAAAGCAACAUGUGAAAUAGAAAUGAAAAUAAUGGAUAAAUAACUAAGUAACGAUAUCGGGGGUUUAAGCAAGAGCUUGCAAACUGAAGGAAGAAAAACAAAGUUAAAAUCGGGGAUCAAACGAUUACAACAACAAUCAACAUAGUGUAGCAAAUCUCUAUAUAUGCAAAAGGAAACUAGAAACGAAAGACAAAAUCUUGCUAGUGUAUGUGUUUGAUUCAUACCAUGGACUCUCAGGUAAACUACCACAUCAGUUUAAGACAGUAUGUUCGACAUGGUCAUAUUAAAAUUACGACUUGAGCACUGCUCCAAGGAAAUGGUACAACAACAGUCACAAAACAACGCCUAAGGCUAUCACAGCCAACUACAGCAGACAGAUCCAACCUUAUUUAAGGUACACAGAUAACUACAUUAUACAAAAAAAAAGGGAUAAAGCAAAGAAAAUAAAGCGGAAAGAGGGACGAGCGUGAGUUUACCUUUUUCGGGGUAGCGAAUGGGACGACGAACUAUCAGCAAACUUAUCGCUACAUGGAAUCUCACGACGUCCACCACCAACAGAGCGUCCCUUUUGAUUUUACCUCUUAGAGAUUUUGCAAACCCCUGAUUCAAACUAAAUAUCUUCAAAUCUUAGCUUUUUCUAAAAAUAUUUUGAAACUCCCUUUGCCUGUAAAACUUCCAACUCGAAAGGGAAAGAAAAGAAGAGAAGAGAACAAAAAACUUCUCAUUUCUUUCAGCUCCACAGCCCUCCUCCGAGCCUCGACCUCCCCAUAAAAAGAAAAAGACCCCCCCAAAAAAAAGACCAAAGAAAGAAACCCAAAAUUUCUCCAAAAGAAACCUAACCUCCUGAAUUUUCCAACCCAAAAUUCCUAGCCCCUGCCAGAAGAGAAAAGAAAGGAAGAAGCCCCCCUUCAAUAGCGACCCUAGGGACCUUUUUUGUAGAAGUCCCAUUAGGGUUUCCCUAGGGAUUUCAAAUAAGGGAAAACUCCAAAUUUCACCCGAAUUCGACUACCCCCAACGGUUAUACCUCUCUUCGUCAUUUUCCUUAAGAAAUCCAAAAUGGAUUAGCCAAUGCAAAACCAUCCUUCCAAGAAACAAUGAAAUUUUUCCACGGGGGUACGAACUCAUACCUCUUUAACCGAGAUUCUAGGGAUUUAAACAUUUAAUGAGACACCUAGGCAUGUUUCUAGAAGGUUUCUUGGCGUCUUCCUCAUACAGGUAUGCAUGGGACGCGCAGAGAAGGUUACAAAUGGGUCGGGUAUGGCCAAGGGUUAAACGAUGGUAUAUUUCCAGGUCUAUGCGGGUUGAAGAUGGGUUAAGGGGUCGUUUAGAGUUGAUUAUCAGGUUUUGCAGAUGGUUUUAUCAUGAUUUGGAUUUGUGUAUUUGCUAUGUUGUAUACUGACUAUUGAAGGCUGCUGGUACAAAAAGUUGAUGUAGAAGAUAAGAAAAUGGUUCUGGUAGGUAGAACUUUGGGCCUGUUGUUGAAUUGAUCUAGCUAGGAAGAAAGAAAACGAGGGUCAGUUAUGGGUCUGGUUGAGAUGGGUAGGGUCAGAU
RNAcentral lists this long non-coding RNA (3007 nucleotides) under Capsicum annuum. RNAcentral's name for it is "long non-coding RNA (CANN_LNC015119)". Lineage: Eukaryota; Viridiplantae; Streptophyta; Magnoliopsida; Solanales; Solanaceae. The record is from RNAcentral.